ACAAAUUCUCAUACUUUAUUAUUAGCCAUAAAUUGCAUUUUCUCCUUCAUAGCACCUAUCCAAAAAUCAGGCUGGGUACAGCUCAUAGCAUUAUGAUAUGUUACUAGAUCAACCAUAUGCCCAAUGUCAUAAUCACUUUCCCCAAGGUAGAUAAGGAAAUUAUCAGAAAUGGCAUGCCUCCUUUAUCUAGCAGAUCUCCUUAAUGACACCUCCUCAACAGGUUAAACUGGUUGAAGAUUCUCAACAUGAGCAGGAGGAUCACAAGCCUAAAUAUCCAUUCUAUCAAUAGAUGUAGGAACUACAUUCUCAUAUGAUAUGGACAUAUGAAUGGACAUAGUCUCAAUGUGACUAUUGUUAAUAUCAAUAGUCUGGGAAAAUUGAACAUUAGCCACAUCAAAUUCUAAAAAUUCAGCAGUU
RNAcentral lists this long non-coding RNA (417 nucleotides) under Elaeis guineensis (African oil palm). RNAcentral describes it as "long non-coding RNA (EGUI_LNC065938)". Lineage: Eukaryota; Viridiplantae; Streptophyta; Magnoliopsida; Arecales; Arecaceae. The record is from RNAcentral.